UUCCACUGUUCUUUUCUUCUUCUUUUUUUGAUUUGUUUGAUUUAUUUGUUUGUCUUGGAGUUUGUUUUAGUGUCUUUUUUUAAUCGUUUUGUUUAUCAUGCUAUUUUGGUUUUUUUCAUGCCCUUGCUUCCAGAAAUUUCUUCUGGAAUUUUUUCAGCUUGAUUUCUUUGUGUUAUGUUUUGCAAGUCUCUUCUCUCGGUUUCUUGCUUCUCCUUUUCGUGUUGACAAGUAGAGCAAUUGACGAAAGCUGUGAACAAUGAUUUCACCAUGGAUGCUGAUAUUGAGGUGAUUAUUUCAUGCCCUAAUUUUCCUGUGUUAUGAACGAAUCAUGCUUUUUUCCGUCGCAGGUGCAAUGAUUGGUAGGAGAGGAUUGUUGGAGAGCUAUUCAGCUUGACCACAGUUCUGUUAAGGUAAUCUCCUUCAAUUUUUAUUUUGUUUUGCUGAUUUUUUUUAUUAAGAAUAAUGCGUAAUUAACUUGAAAACCCAUGUACCCAUGGAUGGCGUGAAUGAGUUUGGCUUUUCUUUGGGUUUUAACUAAAUGCUUUCUUUGUUGCUCAUGCUUUAUUUUGGUUGGCUUUUCUUUCUUUGUAGCUUAUGGUUUUUUUUUUUUUUGCCUUUUUUUUGGUCUUAUUUUCUUAUUUAUUUGGGUUGUUGAGUUUUUUGUUGAUAGCUCACGGUUUUUUCAUUUAUUUAUUUAUUUUUUGCAUGUCCAUGAUUGUAUCAACUGAGGUUGAAAUUUUUAAUUUCUUAUUUAGGGUUUGUUUGUGGAAUGCAUGGGACAAAUUAUAUGAAUAAAUAAUGAGUUUUUGUGCAUAAAGAUGAAUGGAUAAUAAUUUAAUUAAAUAUUUUAUUCCUAAUACUUUGGUUGUCUGCUACAACAACGAGGACGCUCCUCUGCCUGCCUUCAACGAGGACCAGCAGUAAUAUCUCUUGUCUCUCUCUCUUCCUCUGUACAUAUGUUGGGUAUGCAUGCAGUUGUGUAUUUGAAGCACCUGUCAAUGUGUAUUUCAUCGUUUUGAUCUUAUUGCAAAGUUUGCUUUUUCUUUCCUUUUUUCAUA
Long non-coding RNA from Theobroma umbraticum, 1058 nucleotides. RefSeq lists it as uncharacterized. NCBI's taxonomy places the organism in Eukaryota, Viridiplantae, Streptophyta, Magnoliopsida, Malvales, Malvaceae. The record is from RefSeq and is a predicted model, not a curated record.